CCUACGGGUGGCAGCAGUGGGGAAUAUUGCACAAUGGGGGAAACCCUGAUGCAGCGACGCCGCGUGAGUGAAGAAGUAAUUCGUUAUGUAAAGCUCUAUCAGCAGGGAAGAAAAUGACGGUACCUGAGUAAGAAGCCCCGGCUAACUACGUGCCAGCAGCCGCGGUAAUAAGUAGGGGGCAAGCGUUAUCCGGAUUUACUGGGUGUAAAGGGAGCGUAGACGGCAGUGCAAGUCUGGAGUGAAAGGCGGGGGCUCAACCCCCGGACUGCUCUGGAAACUGUAUGGCUGGAGUGCAGGAGAGGUAAGUGGAAUUCCUAGUGUAGCGGUGAAAUGCGUAGAUAUUAGGAGGAACACCAGUGGCGAAGGCGGCUUACUGGACUGUAACUGACGUUGAGGCUCGAAAGCGUGGGGAGCAAACAGGAUUAGAUACCCCUGUAGUC
This 440-nucleotide ribosomal RNA is filed under the name uncultured bacterium. Its description in RNAcentral is "partial 16S ribosomal RNA". It matches the Rfam family "Bacterial small subunit ribosomal RNA", at positions 338 to 795 of the family's 1533-position model. The record is from RNAcentral.